This 2921-nucleotide ribosomal RNA is filed under the name Staphylococcus aureus. RNAcentral's name for it is "23S ribosomal RNA". It matches the Rfam family "Bacterial large subunit ribosomal RNA". Lineage: Bacteria; Bacillati; Bacillota; Bacilli; Caryophanales; Staphylococcaceae. The record is from RNAcentral.
UUAAGUUAUUAAGGGCGCACGGUGGAUGCCUUGGCACUAGAAGCCGAUGAAGGACGUUACUAACGACGAUAUGCUUUGGGGAGCUGUAAGUAAGCUUUGAUCCAGAGAUUUCCGAAUGGGGAAACCCAGCAUGAGUUAUGUCAUGUUAUCGAUAUGUGAAUACAUAGCAUAUCAGAAGGCACACCCGGAGAACUGAAACAUCUUAGUACCCGGAGGAAGAGAAAGAAAAUUCGAUUCCCUUAGUAGCGGCGAGCGAAACGGGAAGAGCCCAAACCAACAAGCUUGCUUGUUGGGGUUGUAGGACACUCUAUACGGAGUUACAAAGGACGACAUUAGACGAAUCAUCUGGAAAGAUGAAUCAAAGAAGGUAAUAAUCCUGUAGUCGAAAAUGUUGUCUCUCUUGAGUGGAUCCUGAGUACGACGGAGCACGUGAAAUUCCGUCGGAAUCUGGGAGGACCAUCUCCUAAGGCUAAAUACUCUCUAGUGACCGAUAGUGAACCAGUACCGUGAGGGAAAGGUGAAAAGCACCCCGGAAGGGGAGUGAAAUAGAACCUGAAACCGUGUGCUUACAAGUAGUCAGAGCCCGUUAAUGGGUGAUGGCGUGCCUUUUGUAGAAUGAACCGGCGAGUUACGAUUUGAUGCAAGGUUAAGCAGUAAAUGUGGAGCCGUAGCGAAAGCGAGUCUGAAUAGGGCGUUUAGUAUUUGGUCGUAGACCCGAAACCAGGUGAUCUACCCUUGGUCAGGUUGAAGUUCAGGUAACACUGAAUGGAGGACCGAACCGACUUACGUUGAAAAGUGAGCGGAUGAACUGAGGGUAGCGGAGAAAUUCCAAUCGAACCUGGAGAUAGCUGGUUCUCUCCGAAAUAGCUUUAGGGCUAGCCUCAAGUGAUGAUUAUUGGAGGUAGAGCACUGUUUGGACGAGGGGCCCCUCUCGGGUUACCGAAUUCAGACAAACUCCGAAUGCCAAUUAAUUUAACUUGGGAGUCAGAACAUGGGUGAUAAGGUCCGUGUUCGAAAGGGAAACAGCCCAGACCACCAGCUAAGGUCCCAAAAUAUAUGUUAAGUGGAAAAGGAUGUGGCGUUGCCCAGACAACUAGGAUGUUGGCUUAGAAGCAGCCAUCAUUUAAAGAGUGCGUAAUAGCUCACUAGUCGAGUGACACUGCGCCGAAAAUGUACCGGGGCUAAACAUAUUACCGAAGCUGUGGAUUGUCCUUUGGACAAUGGUAGGAGAGCGUUCUAAGGGCGUUGAAGCAUGAUCGUAAGGACAUGUGGAGCGCUUAGAAGUGAGAAUGCCGGUGUGAGUAGCGAAAGACGGGUGAGAAUCCCGUCCACCGAUUGACUAAGGUUUCCAGAGGAAGGCUCGUCCGCUCUGGGUUAGUCGGGUCCUAAGCUGAGGCCGACAGGCGUAGGCGAUGGAUAACAGGUUGAUAUUCCUGUACCACCUAUAAUCGUUUUAAUCGAUGGGGGGACGCAGUAGGAUAGGCGAAGCGUGCGAUUGGAUUGCACGUCUAAGCAGUAAGGCUGAGUAUUAGGCAAAUCCGGUACUCGUUAAGGCUGAGCUGUGAUGGGGAGAAGACAUUGUGUCUUCGAGUCGUUGAUUUCACACUGCCGAGAAAAGCCUCUAGAUAGAAAAUAGGUGCCCGUACCGCAAACCGACACAGGUAGUCAAGAUGAGAAUUCUAAGGUGAGCGAGCGAACUCUCGUUAAGGAACUCGGCAAAAUGACCCCGUAACUUCGGGAGAAGGGGUGCUCUUUAGGGUUAACGCCCAGAAGAGCCGCAGUGAAUAGGCCCAAGCGACUGUUUAUCAAAAACACAGGUCUCUGCUAAACCGUAAGGUGAUGUAUAGGGGCUGACGCCUGCCCGGUGCUGGAAGGUUAAGAGGAGUGGUUAGCUUCUGCGAAGCUACGAAUCGAAGCCCCAGUAAACGGCGGCCGUAACUAUAACGGUCCUAAGGUAGCGAAAUUCCUUGUCGGGUAAGUUCCGACCCGCACGAAAGGCGUAACGAUUUGGGCACUGUCUCAACGAGAGACUCGGUGAAAUCAUAGUACCUGUGAAGAUGCAGGUUACCCGCGACAGGACGGAAAGACCCCGUGGAGCUUUACUGUAGCCUGAUAUUGAAAUUCGGCACAGCUUGUACAGGAUAGGUAGGAGCCUUUGAAACGUGAGCGCUAGCUUACGUGGAGGCGCUGGUGGGAUACUACCCUAGCUGUGUUGGCUUUCUAACCCGCACCACUUAUCGUGGUGGGAGACAGUGUCANGCGGGCAGUUUGACUGGGGCGGUCGCCUCCUAAAAGGUAACGGAGGCGCUCAAAGGUUCCCUCAGAAUGGUUGGAAAUCAUUCAUAGAGUGUAAAGGCAUAAGGGAGCUUGACUGCGAGACCUACAAGUCGAGCAGGGUCGAAAGACGGACUUAGUGAUCCGGUGGUUCCGCAUGGAAGGGCCAUCGCUCAACGGAUAAAAGCUACCCCGGGGAUAACAGGCUUAUCUCCCCCAAGAGUUCACAUCGACGGGGAGGUUUGGCACCUCGAUGUCGGCUCAUCGCAUCCUGGGGCUGUAGUCGGUCCCAAGGGUUGGGCUGUUCGCCCAUUAAAGCGGUACGCGAGCUGGGUUCAGAACGUCGUGAGACAGUUCGGUCCCUAUCCGUCGUGGGCGUAGGAAAUUUGAGAGGAGCUGUCCUUAGUACGAGAGGACCGGGAUGGACAUACCUCUGGUGUACCAGUUGUCGUGCCAACGGCAUAGCUGGGUAGCUAUGUGUGGACGGGAUAAGUGCUGAAAGCAUCUAAGCAUGAAGCCCCCCUCAAGAUGAGAUUUCCCAACUUCGGUUAUAAGAUCCCUCAAAGAUGAUGAGGUUAAUAGGUUCGAGGUGGAAGCAUGGUGACAUGUGGAGCUGACGAAUACUAAUCGAUCGAAGACUUAAUCAA